Flammula alnicola is the source of this 125-nucleotide non-coding RNA. The record is from the annotation of a GenBank genome assembly. Lineage: Eukaryota; Fungi; Basidiomycota; Agaricomycetes; Agaricales; Strophariaceae.
GGUGAGAUGGCCGAGCGGUCUAAGGCGCCAGACUAAGGAUCAGAGCAUUCGAUGCUCCUCUCUAACUGUCUUUACAAAUGGUUAUCUGGUCCGAAAGGGCGUGGGUUCGAAUCCCACUCUCAUCA